RNAcentral lists this ribosomal RNA (496 nucleotides) under uncultured bacterium. Its description in RNAcentral is "partial 16S ribosomal RNA". It matches the Rfam family "Bacterial small subunit ribosomal RNA", at positions 28 to 506 of the family's 1533-position model. The record is from RNAcentral.
GAUGAACGCUGGCGGCGUGCCUAAUACAUGCAAGUCGAGCGAACAGACGAGGAGCUUGCUCCUCUGACGUUAGCGGCGGACGGGUGAGUAACACGUGGAUAACCUACCUAUAAGACUGGGAUAACUUCGGGAAACCGGAGCUAAUACCGGAUAAUAUAUUGAACCGCAUGGUUCAAUAGUGAAAGACGGUUUUGCUGUCACUUAUAGAUGGAUCCGCGCCGCAUUAGCUAGUUUGUAAGGUAACGGCUUACCAAGGCAACGAUGCGUAGCCGACCUGAGAGGGGGAUCGGCCACCCUGGAACUGAGACACGGUCCAGACUCCUACGGGAGGCAGCAGUAGGGAAUCUUCCGCAAUGGGCGAAAGCCUGACGGAGCAACGCCGCGUGAGUGAUGAAGGUCUUCGGAUCGUAAAACUCUGUUAUUAGGGAAGAACAAAUGUGUAAGUAACUAUGCACGUCUUGACGGUACCGAAGCAGAAAGCCACGGCUAACUACGU